AAUAUUGGACACUGGGCGAAAGCCUGAUCCAGCCAUGCCGCGUGUGUGGAGAAGGUCUUCGGAUUGUAAAGCGCUUUAAGCUGGGAGGAAGGGAAGUAAGGUAAUACCUUGCUGUGUUGACGUUAACGACAGAAUCAGCACCGGCGUAUUUCGUGCCAGCAGCCGCGGUAAUACGAAGGGUGCAAGCGUUAAUCGGAAUUACUGGGCGUAAAGCGCGCGUAGGUGGGUUGUUAAGUUGGAAGUGAAAGCCCCGGGAUCAACCAGGGAACUGCUUCCAAAACUGGCAAGCUAGAGUAUGGCAGAGGAUGGUGGAAUUUCCUGUGUAGCGGUGAAAUGCGUAGAUAUAGGAAGGAACACCAGUGGCGAAGGCGACUACCUGGACUGAUACUGACACUGAGGUGCGAAAGCGUGGGGAGCAAAC
This 421-nucleotide ribosomal RNA is filed under the name uncultured bacterium. RNAcentral describes it as "partial 16S ribosomal RNA". It matches the Rfam family "Bacterial small subunit ribosomal RNA", at positions 360 to 773 of the family's 1533-position model. The record is from RNAcentral.